This 521-nucleotide small RNA is filed under the name Homo sapiens (human). Its description in RNAcentral is "MUC20 overlapping transcript (ENSG00000280993.2)". The record is from RNAcentral. Lineage: Eukaryota; Metazoa; Chordata; Mammalia; Primates; Hominidae.
ACCUUUGCUGUCUUGGGACGGAUCACCACUGCAAGAGGGGAAGUUGCUACUGUGAUGAAUUCUGCCAUGUGGCACCAGACUGCCACCCAGACCACAGUGUCCUCUGCAACCCUGCUUCUCAGAUGACCAAGAUGGUGCUGCAGAUGGUGCUGAGGAUGGAGAACCCACCAAGCCCCGCUAGGAGCCACCUAGACUGGAUGCAGAGCAUGGAGUUUUAUUUGCUUCCAAGAAGGAAGGCAAGAUUUCCUGGGUCCGUGAUGAUGGAAGGCUGACAACUCUUUUAUGGAGUUUGAGCUUGCUCCCAGCAGGGAAGACAAGUUCGAGUUUUUUUCCUGCUUCAAGGAUGGUAGAGAGCAGUCUUCAGCCUGAGACCCAUCCCUAGGCCCCAGCACCCGCAGAGCAGACACUGCGAUGACAACGGACGACACAGAAGUGCCCGCUAUGACUCUAGCACCGGGCCACGCCGCUCUGGAAACUCAAACGCUGAGCGCUGAGACCUCUUCUAGGGCCUCAACCCCAGC